CAAUAGCGUAUAUUAAAGUUGUUGCAGUUAAAAAGCUCGUAGUUGGAUUUGUGGCUGUCACGGGCGGCCUAUCACUUAGUGUUAGUGCUUGCCUGUGUCGCUAUCCUUGGGUGGAGCCCGUGUGGCAUUAGGUUGUCGUGCGGGGGAUGCCCAUCGUUUACUGUGAGAAAAUUAGAGUGUUCAAAGCAGGCUUAUGCCGUUGAAUAUGUUAGCAUGGAAUAAUAAGAUAGGACCUCGGUACUAUUUUGUUGGUUUGCGCACCGAGGUAAUGAUUAAUAGGGACAGUUGGGGGUAUUCGUAUUUCAUUGUCAGAGGUGAAAUUCUUGGAUUUCUGAAAGACGAACUACUGCGAAAGCAUUUACCAAGGAUGUUUUCAUUAA
This 380-nucleotide ribosomal RNA is filed under the name uncultured eukaryote. Its description in RNAcentral is "partial 18S ribosomal RNA". It matches the Rfam family "Eukaryotic small subunit ribosomal RNA", at positions 592 to 976 of the family's 1831-position model. The record is from RNAcentral.